This 105-nucleotide small RNA is filed under the name Flavobacterium xinjiangense. RNAcentral's name for it is "Flavo-1 RNA". It matches the Rfam family "Flavo-1 RNA". The record is from RNAcentral. Lineage: Bacteria; Pseudomonadati; Bacteroidota; Flavobacteriia; Flavobacteriales; Flavobacteriaceae.
CCCUAGCCCUGAUGGAAGCGGUAUCCUUAUCUAGUCCAGAACUUGUUUCAGGAUCUUGAAACAAGUUCUGGACUAGAUAAAAUAUAGCAAACAGCAGGAAAAAGC